AUACGUAGGGUGCAAGCGUUAAUCGGAAUUACUGGGCGUAGAGCGUGCGCAGGCGGUUUUGUAAGACAGUGGUGAAAUCCCCGGGCUCAACCUGGGAACUGCCAUUGUGACUGCAAGGCUGGAGUGCGGCAGAGGGGGAUGGAAUUCCGCGUGUAGCAGUGAAAUGCGUAGAUAUGCGGAGGAACACCGAUGGCGAAGGCAAUCCCCUGGGCCUGCACUGACGCUCAUGCACGAAAGCGUGGGGAGCAAACAGGAUUAGAUGCCCUGGUAGUCCACGCCCUAAACGAUGUCAACUGGUUGUUGGGGAUUUAUUUUCUCAGUAACGAAGCUAACGCGUGAAGUUGACCGCCUGGGGAGUACGGCCGCAAGGUUAAAACUCAAAUGAAUUGGCGGGG
Molecule: ribosomal RNA, 395 nt
Filed under: uncultured bacterium
Lineage: Bacteria
Description: partial 16S ribosomal RNA
Rfam family: Bacterial small subunit ribosomal RNA
Source: RNAcentral